Molecule: long non-coding RNA, 918 nt
Organism: Numida meleagris (helmeted guineafowl)
Lineage: Eukaryota; Metazoa; Chordata; Aves; Galliformes; Numididae
Source: Ensembl
GAGCAGUCGGUGCAGAGCGACGGCGCCGAGAGGACGUGGAGAGCGGAGGAGAGGAGAGCAAAGCCAGAAAGUGACCGAGGAGCAAUCCCACAGCGUGCCUGGGGGUCGUUCCACUUCCAGCUCCAGCUGCCGGCAGUGAGCGGUAGGCAGAAGUCGUGCGGCGUGCCUGGGGCCAGGCCUGGCCUCCCCUCAGUGCUGUGCCUGCGCGUGGCUGCGAUGGGUGGCAGAGAGCGUGGCCGUGGCCGUGUCCAUAUCUGUGUCUGUGUCCGUGUGUGAUCCUGUGUCCGUGCCUCUGUCUGUGCGUGUGCUUUGUGUGCCCUCCCAAAUGGGAGCCCCAGUCCCCCUGGACGGGAGCUCCGCUUCCCCUUCUGGGACCCCAGACCCCUUUUGGGACCCUUCAAAUCCCCUAUGGGACCCUCAGUUCCACCCCCCAGGACCCCAGCCAGCCUUUGGGACCCCCCCAGUUCUGCCACGGGACCCCUCAGUUCCCCUCCCCCGGACCCCAGACCCCAUUGCUGGGGCAGGGCGCUGCCCACAGCGGGGCCCGUGCCUCGCCGUGCCCACGGCCGUGCCCCUCACACCGCUCGGAUGUUGCUGUGCCUGCAGGCGAAGCCAUGGCGGAGGAGUUGCGGGAGUCACUGCUGGCAGCCACAGCUCAAUUGGCCGCAAGGCGGCAGGAGGUGAUGGAGAUCAGGAGGAGGCGUGUGCAGCUGGAGCAGGCCAAAUGGGAACAAACAGAAAUCAACGAGGUACUGAGGGUAGGAGGGGAGGGGAGGGGAGAGAAGGGAGGGGGGAGGGGAGGGGAGGGGAGGGCAGCCCCCUCCGAGCAGGCCCGGCGCAGGCUCUUGACCGGACCCUUUCCUUCUCCAGGCCCUGCUGCAGGAAAUUGAGGAGCUCCGAGCGGCUCAGCGGAGCCGC